Molecule: ribosomal RNA, 207 nt
Filed under: uncultured bacterium
Lineage: Bacteria
Description: partial 16S ribosomal RNA
Rfam family: Bacterial small subunit ribosomal RNA
Source: RNAcentral
CGUGUAGGUGGUAAUGUAAGUCUGGCGUGAAAUUUUUCGGCUUAACCGGGAAAGGUCGUCGGAGACUGCAUAACUAGAGGACGGUAGAGGCGUGUGGAAUUCCGGGUGUAGUGGUGAAAUGCGUAGAGAUCCGGAGGAACACCAGUGGCGAAGGCGACACGCUGGGCCGUACCUGACACUGAGGCGCGAUAGCAUGGGGAGCAAACA